AGAGAAUUGACCGAGUGGUCUAUGGUGGUAAGCUUGAAACUUAUUUGGUUAAUAUAAUCACAUCCGUUCGAAUCGGAUAUUCUCUG
Molecule: transfer RNA, 86 nt
Filed under: Usnea subfusca
Lineage: Eukaryota; Fungi; Ascomycota; Lecanoromycetes; Lecanorales; Parmeliaceae
Description: tRNA-Ser
Rfam family: tRNA
About the family: Transfer RNA (tRNA) molecules are approximately 80 nucleotides in length. Their secondary structure includes four short double-helical elements and three loops (D, anti-codon, and T loops). Further hydrogen bonds mediate the characteristic L-shaped molecular structure. tRNAs have two regions of fundamental functional importance: the anti-codon, which is responsible for specific mRNA codon recognition, and the 3' end, to which the tRNAs corresponding amino acid is attached (by aminoacyl-tRNA synthetases). tRNAs cope with the degeneracy of the genetic code in two manners: having more than one tRNA (with a specific anti-codon) for a particular amino acid; and 'wobble' base-pairing, i.e. permitting non-standard base-pairing at the 3rd anti-codon position.
Source: RNAcentral